This 442-nucleotide ribosomal RNA is filed under the name uncultured bacterium. RNAcentral's name for it is "bacterial SSU rRNA". It matches the Rfam family "Bacterial small subunit ribosomal RNA", at positions 8 to 498 of the family's 1533-position model. The record is from RNAcentral.
AGAGUUUGAUCCUGGCUCAGAACGAACGCUGGCGGCAGGCUUAACACAUGCAAGUCGAGCGCCCCGCAAGGGGAGCGGCAGACGGGAGAGUAACACGUGGGAACGUACCCUUCAGUUCGGAACAACCCAGGGAAACUUGGGCUAAUACCGAAUACGUCCGUAAGGAGAAAGAUUUAUCGCUGAAGGAUCGGCCCGCGUCUGAUUAGCUUGUUGGUGAGGUAACGGCUCACCAAGGCGACGAUCAGUAGCUGGUCUGAGAGGAUGAUCAGCCUCACUGGGACUGAGACACGGCCCAGACUCCUACGGGAGGCAGCAGUGGGGAAUAUUGGACAAUGGGCGCAAGCCUGAUCCAGCCAUGCCGCGUGGGUGAUGAAGGCCCUAGGGUUGUAAAGCCCUUUCGGCGGGGAAGAUAAUGACGGUACCCGCAGAAGAAGCCCCGGCU